Molecule: ribosomal RNA, 446 nt
Filed under: uncultured bacterium
Lineage: Bacteria
Description: partial 16S ribosomal RNA
Rfam family: Bacterial small subunit ribosomal RNA
Source: RNAcentral
CCUACGGGUGGCAGCAGUCGAGAAUCAUUCACAAUGGGGGAAACCCUGAUGGUGCGACGCCGCGUGGGGGAAUGAAGGUCUUCGGAUUGUAAACCCCUGUCAUGUGGGAGCAAAUUAAAAAGAUAGUACCACAAGAGGAAGAGACGGCUAACUCUGUGCCAGCAGCCGCGGUAAUACAGAGGUCUCAAGCGUUGUUCGGAAUCACUGGGCGUAAAGCGUGCGUAGGCUGUUUCGUAAGUCGUGUGUGAAAGGCGCGGGCUCAACCCGCGGACGGCACAUGAUACUGCGAGAAUAGAGUAAGGGAGGGGGAACCGGAAUUCUCGGUGUAGCAGUGAAAUGCGUAGAUAUCGAGAGGAACACUCGUGGCGAAGGCGGGUUCCUGGACAUUAACUGACGCUGAGGCACGAAGGCCAGGGGAGCGAAAGGGAUUAGAUACCCCAGUAGUC